This is a long non-coding RNA of Dermochelys coriacea (leatherback sea turtle), 242 nucleotides long. RefSeq lists it as uncharacterized. The record is from RefSeq and is a predicted model, not a curated record. The transcript is spliced from 3 exons. Lineage: Eukaryota; Metazoa; Chordata; Testudines; Dermochelyidae.
GUGGAAAAGGGACCUCUGCUGCAUGUGUUUCAAGGCUCACAAGAUCUUCUCCUUCCCAGAGGCUAGCGAAGAUUAGAAGGCGAAAAAAACGCACUUGUGAUGAAAUCUUCUCCGAGCUCAUGCGGUCUUCCCACACUGACAGAGCAAUGCGUGGAGGCAGAGAAUGUCAGAGUGCAGGAAAGCACAAAAUGAGCGGGAGGAGAGGUGACGGGCUGAAGCUGAAAGGUGGUGGCAGCGUGAUG